GGGAUUGUGGCUCAGUGGUAGAGUGCUUGCCUAUCAGGUGUGAGGCCCUGGGUUCGAUCCUCAGCACCA
This 69-nucleotide transfer RNA is filed under the name Ictidomys tridecemlineatus (thirteen-lined ground squirrel). RNAcentral describes it as "Spermophilus tridecemlineatus (thirteen-lined ground squirrel) tRNA". It matches the Rfam family "tRNA". From Rfam's summary of the family: Transfer RNA (tRNA) molecules are approximately 80 nucleotides in length. Their secondary structure includes four short double-helical elements and three loops (D, anti-codon, and T loops). Further hydrogen bonds mediate the characteristic L-shaped molecular structure. tRNAs have two regions of fundamental functional importance: the anti-codon, which is responsible for specific mRNA codon recognition, and the 3' end, to which the tRNAs corresponding amino acid is attached (by aminoacyl-tRNA synthetases). tRNAs cope with the degeneracy of the genetic code in two manners: having more than one tRNA (with a specific anti-codon) for a particular amino acid; and 'wobble' base-pairing, i.e. permitting non-standard base-pairing at the 3rd anti-codon position. The record is from Rfam by way of RNAcentral. Lineage: Eukaryota; Metazoa; Chordata; Mammalia; Rodentia; Sciuridae.